UUGAACUGAAGAGUUUGAUCAUGGCUCAGAUUGAACGCUGGCGGCAGGCCUAACACAUGCAAGUCGAGCGGAAACGAUCCUAGCUUGCUAGGAGGCGUCGAGCGGCGGACGGGUGAGUAACGCGUGAGAAUCUACCCAUGAGUGGGGGACAACCCGGGGAAACUCGGGCUAAUACCGCAUACGCCCUACGGGGUAAAGCAGGGGACCUUCGGGCCUUGCGCUGAUGGAUGAGCUCGCGUCGGAUUAGCUUGUUGGUGAGGUAAAGGCUCACCAAGGCGACGAUCC
This 285-nucleotide ribosomal RNA is filed under the name Alcanivorax sp. RNAcentral describes it as "partial 16S ribosomal RNA". It matches the Rfam family "Bacterial small subunit ribosomal RNA", at positions 1 to 282 of the family's 1533-position model. The record is from RNAcentral. Lineage: Bacteria; Pseudomonadati; Pseudomonadota; Gammaproteobacteria; Oceanospirillales; Alcanivoracaceae.